GACGAACGCUGGCGGCGUGCCUAAUACAUGCAAGUUGAGCGAUGAAGCUUUGUUCUUUCACCUAUUUGAAGAGCAGCUAACGGGUGAGUAACGCGUGUGUAAUCUGCCUUUUAUCGGGGGACAACUUUUGGAAACGAAUGCUAAUACCGCAUAACAACUUUAAACAUAAGUUUUAAGUUUGAAAGAUGCAAUUGCAUCACUCAAAGAUGAUCCCGCGUUUUAUUAGCAAGUUGGUGAGGUAAAGGCUCACCAAGGCGAUGAUACAUAGCCGACCUGAGAGGGUGAUCGGCAAAAAUGGGAAUGAGAAAAGGACAAAAAGGCGACGGGAGGCAGCAGUAGGGAAACUUCGGAAAUGGACGAAAGACAGACCGAGCAAAGCCGCGGGAGUGAAGAAGGAUUUCGGAUCGUAAAAAUCUGUUGGUAGAGAAGAACGAUGGUGAGAGUGGAAAGCACAUAAAGUGACGGUAACUACACAGAAAGGGACGGCUAACUACGUG
RNAcentral lists this ribosomal RNA (497 nucleotides) under uncultured bacterium. RNAcentral's name for it is "partial 16S ribosomal RNA". It matches the Rfam family "Bacterial small subunit ribosomal RNA", at positions 28 to 507 of the family's 1533-position model. The record is from RNAcentral.